CGCGUCCGUCCCACCUUUGAAGAGCUCCACCUGCUUGAACUCGAAGGGGAUGUUGUUGCUGCGGGCGAAAAUGUAGAUGGAGCGGCAGGGCUGCGAGAGCAAGUCCAGAUUUCCACGCAAGCGGAGGAGAACUAAAGAAGCUCAGACUGAAUUCAAGCCCUUGCAUGGAGCCCGCAGCGUUUCGCAGCUGUGUGAUUCAGGGAAGGUGACAUGCUGGUUGAGCACAGGGACUUCUGGAAGAUAGAGCGGCUGAACCACUCGGAGCAAAGUCACCCCCAGUCAAACCCACCUCGGCUCAGCUGACACCUUUUUAUCAGUGCUGUGCCAGAGAGCUUGCAGAUCACGCACGAAUCCUUGGAAAGAGCCACAGGAACCUCAGGGAGAGGGAACUGUGUAAAGGAUCAUUACAAAGGGUGGUGAAAAGGCUUGGAUACUGAGCCAGGAGCUCGUCAACUAGAUAAAUUAGAAACUAGGAACACUUUCAGGUGCUUCCCUUUAUACCACUUUGCCAAGACUUCAGCUCUGAGAACUCCUUAGGAAUGGGGCUUACUGUUAGACCAUUCAGUCUGCCAGUCUGGUGAACGAGCUGCGUCUCAAAAUGAAGUAUCGAGUCUGCUGUA
Molecule: long non-coding RNA, 620 nt
Organism: Aquila chrysaetos chrysaetos
Lineage: Eukaryota; Metazoa; Chordata; Aves; Accipitriformes; Accipitridae
Exons: 2
Source: RefSeq, a predicted model, not a curated record